GACGAACGCUGGCGGCGUGCUUAACACAUGCAAGUCGAACGGAAAGGCCCUGCUUGCCGGGUACUCGAGUGGCGAACGGGUGAGUAACACGUGGGUGAUCUGCCCUUCACUUCGGGAUAAGCCUGGGAAACUGGGUCUAAUACCGGAUAGGAGCCCUUUUUAGAGUGAUGGUUGUAAAGUUUUUUCGGUGUAGGGUUGGCUCGCGGCCUAUCAGCUUGUUGGUGGGGUAAUGGCCUACCAAGGCGGCGACGGGUAGCCGGCCCGAGGGGGGGGACGGCCACAUUGGGACUUGGGUACGGCCCAGACCCCUACGGGAGGCAGCAGGGGGGAAUAUUGCACAAUGGGCGCAAGCCUGAUGCAGCGACGCCGCGGGGGGGAUGACGGCCUUCGGGUUGGAAACUCCCUUCGCUAGGGACGAAGCUUUUUGUGACGGUACCUAGAUAAGAAGCACCGGCUAACUACGUG
RNAcentral lists this ribosomal RNA (465 nucleotides) under uncultured bacterium. RNAcentral's name for it is "partial 16S ribosomal RNA". It matches the Rfam family "Bacterial small subunit ribosomal RNA", at positions 28 to 507 of the family's 1533-position model. The record is from RNAcentral.